Molecule: ribosomal RNA, 439 nt
Filed under: uncultured bacterium
Lineage: Bacteria
Description: bacterial SSU rRNA
Rfam family: Bacterial small subunit ribosomal RNA
Source: RNAcentral
GCAAAACGCGAAGAACCUUACCUACUCUUGACAUCUACGGAAGACUGCAGAGAUGCGGUUGUGCCUUCGGGAACCGUAAGACAGGUGCUGCAUGGCUGUCGUCAGCUCGUGUUGUGAAAUGUUGGGUUAAGUCCCGCAACGAGCGCGACCCCUAUCCUUAGUUGCCAGCGAGUUAAGUCGGGAACUCUAGGGAGACUGCCGGUGAUAAACCGGAGGAAGGUGGGGACGACGUCAAGUCAUCAUGGCCCUUACGAGUAGGGCUACACACGUGCUACAAUGGUACGUACAGAGGGAGGCAAGCUGGCGACAGUGAGCGGAUCUCUUAAAGCGUAUCGUAGUCCGGAUCGCAGUCUGCAACUCGACUGCGUGAAGUCGGAAUCGCUAGUAAUCGUGGAUCAGAAUGUCACGGUGAAUACGUUCCCGGGUCUUGUACACACCG